ACUGACGCUGAGAUGCGAAAGCGUGGGGAGCAAACAGGAUUAGAUACCCUGGUAGUCACGCUGUAAACGAUGUCGAUUUGGAGUUUGUUGCCUAGAGUGAUGGGCUCCGAAGCUAACGCGAUAAAUCGACCGCCUGGGGAGUACGGCCGCAAGGUUAAAACUCAAAUGAAUUGACGGGGGCCCGCACAAGCGGUGGAGCAUGUGGUUUAAUUCGAUGCAACGCGAAGAACCUUACCUGGUCUUGACAUCCAUAGAAUUCUGCAGAGAUGUGGGAGUGCCUUCGGGAACUAUGAGACAGGUGCUGCAUGGCUGUCGUCAGCUCGUGUUGUGAAAUGUUGGGUUAAGUCCCGCAACGAGCGCAACCCUUAUUCUUUGUUGCCAGCGAUUUGGUCGGGAACUCAAAGGAGACUGCCGUUGAUAAAGCGGAGGAAGGUGGGGACGACGUCAAGUCAUCAUGGCCCUUACGACCAGGGCUACACACGUGCUACAGUGGCGUAUACAAAGGGAAGCGAAGGUGCGAGCUGGAGCGGAUCUCAUAAAGUACGCCUAAGUUCGGAUUGGAGUCUGCAACUCGACUCCAUGAAGUCGGAAUCGCUAGUAAUCGUAGAUCAGAAUGCUACGGUGAACACGUUCCCGGGCCUUGUACACACCGCCCGUCACACCAUGGGAGUGGGUUGCACCAGAAGUAGAUAGCUUAACCGCGAGGGGGGCGUUUACCACGGUGUGAUUCAUGACUGGGGUGAAGUCGUAACAAGGUAACCA
RNAcentral lists this ribosomal RNA (762 nucleotides) under uncultured Enterobacteriaceae bacterium. Its description in RNAcentral is "bacterial SSU rRNA". It matches the Rfam family "Bacterial small subunit ribosomal RNA", at positions 739 to 1502 of the family's 1533-position model. Lineage: Bacteria; Pseudomonadati; Pseudomonadota; Gammaproteobacteria; Enterobacterales; Enterobacteriaceae. The record is from RNAcentral.